Molecule: long non-coding RNA, 1214 nt
Organism: Stegodyphus dumicola
Lineage: Eukaryota; Metazoa; Arthropoda; Arachnida; Araneae; Eresidae
Source: RefSeq, a predicted model, not a curated record
AAGAUUUUAAAUUGCUCUAUCUGUGGAUGCUUAGCCUUUAGACGCCAAAAUAAAAGCGGCAAUAUCCGGUUAAAAUAGCAGAUUUCGUAGUUUCAGGAAAAGAUUCAAGCUGUAAGCGCUGAUCUUUUUCUCACAAACUGUUGUUGCCAUUGUGGGACUUGCAUAACAUGUCAUUACAGAAUACAACAUCACGAGGAAUUACUAUGGAUAACAAGUCUUGUCUAGUGAUAUCAUAGGCAGAGACUACAUGUGACAUGCAGUAUACAGUGUCCUGCAAAUCUUGCACAAGGUGUUAUGUUAGAGGAUGCCAACAAUACGUGAGCUGAAUGAUUUUGGUAACUUCUAGUAAGGCAAAGAUUUGCAAACGAAAUACAGCGUAUAAGAAUACAAUAGAACAUAGAAGACUCAGAUAACAAAAACUCAGAUAACAAAAGUUUUAAGUGCUACGAAGAAACUCUAAUAUGAUCUCGAGCUUCCCAAUAUUGCUUAAAUAGAAAAUUCUUCUUUAAAGUAUGACAAAAAAAAAGGAGGUGAUCGCGAUCUAUUAAGCCUGAGCUGCAGAGGAAACACUCAUAACCUGAACCCUAGUAACAUUAACAUAACCUAGCGUUCACUAUGGUACAGCGAGAUGAAGUGAAGACUCCAAUGCAGACAAGCAUCAUCCAUAAGCGUCCAACCUGUAUACAUUGCAAGAGUAGUUGGACAAACGUGUUUGGGUGAAACAUGUUGUAUCAAAAUUCCAGUUAUGAUCAACUAAGCUCAGAACGCUAUGGACGGUUGUUUGUUCUAUAUCUGGCCAUCUGCACCUGUACCCAAAUUAUUCAUCCGUAACGGUUACUUUCCAAGACGCUUCAUGAAUAAGUAAAUCCAGGGAUAUUUAGAAAAUUAAUAAAUUGUGCAUUUAAAUUUGAUCAAAUUUCCAAGAAUAAUUUAAAAACCAGUAAGUUUACUCUCGUAACUACCAAAAUGGAUUACUUAACUUCAGCUUUACAUGCCAGGAAGGUAAUAGAUAAGGAUUAAUCAUCAUGGCCGAUGACACAGUAUGUAUAACACAUUCAUUGGCCAUUGUUCUGUUGUACGUGGUCAACGAUGAAAUACUUGGACAUUUGAUGAAUUCUUUAUUGUAACUCCAGUGUAAAUGUAGCCCCUUUUCUAUAAGCAACUCAAUUACAAUAUAUUUUAAUAGCUUUGUAAUUAAACUAUUUAUACUCGCA